Molecule: ribosomal RNA, 506 nt
Filed under: uncultured bacterium
Lineage: Bacteria
Description: partial 16S ribosomal RNA
Rfam family: Bacterial small subunit ribosomal RNA
Source: RNAcentral
GAUGAACGCUAGCUACAGGCUUAACACAUGCAAGUCGAGGGGUAACGAGAGGAAAGCUUGCUUUCCCUGUCGACGACCGGCGCACGGGUGAGUAACGCGUAUCCAACCUGCCCCCAACUAGGGAAUAACCUUGCGAAAGUAAGACUAAUACCCUAUAAUUUCCUCAGAUGUCAUCUGACGAGGAAUAAAGAUUUAUCGGUUGUGGAUGGGGAUGCGUCUGAUUAGCUUGUUGGCGGGGUAACGGCCCACCAAGGCAACGAUCAGUAGGGGUUCUGAGAGGAAGGUCCCCCACAGUGGAACUGAGACACGGUCCAAACUCCUACGGGAGGCAGCAGUGAGGAAUAUUGGUCAAUGGGCGGAAGCCUGAACCAGCCAAGUAGCGUGCAGGAUGACGGCCCUAUGGGUUGUAAACUGCUUUUAUACAGGAAUAAAGUUAGCCACGUGUGGUUAUUUGUAGGUACUGUAUGAAUAAGGACCGGCUAAUUCCGUGCCAGCCGCCGCAGUAA